GAUGAACGCUGGCGGCGUGCUUAACACAUGCAAGUCGAACGAAGCACUGAAAGCGGAUUACUUCGGUUUGAAGCUUUCUUUGACUGAGUGGCGGACGGGUGAGUAACGCGUGGGUAACCUGCCUCAUACAGGGGGAUAACAGUUAGAAAUGACUGCUAAUACCGCAUAAGCGCACGGUUUCGCAUGGAACAGUGUGAAAAACUUUAGUGGUAUGAGAUGGACCCGCGUCUGAUUAGCUGGUUGGUGAGGUAACGGCCCACCAAGGCGACGAUCAGUAGCCGGCCUGAGAGGGUGAACGGCCACAUUGGGACUGAGACACGGCCCAA
Molecule: ribosomal RNA, 326 nt
Filed under: uncultured bacterium
Lineage: Bacteria
Description: bacterial SSU rRNA
Rfam family: Bacterial small subunit ribosomal RNA
Source: RNAcentral